GAGUUGCUGGGAAGAGUCUAGAAGGGGGUUGGGGCUCCCCUAUUUGCAAACUCUCAGGGGUCACAGGGGCUUGCUAGCCCAACCCAGGUGGAGGUGUGGGCUUCAUUCUUGGUAGCAAUUAUAUAUUGAAGGGAGAAAGACAAAGAAAAAAAGUUGCUAUCAAAUCAGAUCCAUGAGCUUGAUGGGUGGGGUUUGAUGAAGAUAUUCAAUUUAAGACUCAGUGCUCCAUAAUUUUUCACCCUUUGCAUAUUGUCCAGUUGUGGGUGUCUGGGCCAGUUACCAUCAACUGCAAGAGGAAACGUCUAUGACUCCGUGAGAGGCCAUGGAAGGCCAUUGGUGAAAGUGCAGCCUCAGGUGCAUUUGACGGCCCAGGACUGAAGGGGUCAUGCAGUGUUUUGGAGAUGCCAGUACCAUGAGAUGACCACCAAGAGUAGCAGCAGCAGUGGAGGACAGGCAUCUGGAGCCUAGAGGAUGACAAAUGUGCUACAAAGAGCAUGGCUGGAGAAAUGACCCAAGCCCUUGGAGGAGCCCAGAAGAUCGUGGGUUGGAUCCUAGACAUUGGACAGUUGGAGUUUAAUCUUUGCUUCUGAUUGUGACUGUGCCCUGAUAUUUUUCCCUCUUGAAGGAAGAAAAUAUUUUAGUGGACCCCACAGUUAAGAGACUUUUAAUUAUAAAAAGACUUUGGAUUUUAAAAGACAUUUUAUAUUUUUAAAGGAUUGAACUUUUAAUAUGUAAAGACUGUGGGACUUUUAAUGUUAUUUAAGAUCUUGGGGAUGAAUAAGAAUGUAAGGGUUGAGGCUUACUAGUGAUUUGUUUGUGUGUCAGGUUGACAAGGGGUCAAUUGUACUGGCUAGUUUUGUAUCAACUUGACACAGCUGGAGUUAUCACAGAGAAAGGAGCUUCAGUUGAGGAAAUGCCCCCAUGAGAUCCAACUGUAAGGCAUUUUCUCAAUUAGUGAUCAAGGGGGAAAGGCCCCUUGUGGGUGGAACCAUCUCUGGGCUGGUAGUCUUGGUUCUAUAAGAGAGCAGGCUGAGCAAGCCAGGGGAAGCAAGCCAGUAAAGAACAUCCCUCCAGGACCUCUGCAUCAGCUCCUACUCCCUGACCUGCUUGAGUUCCAGUCCUGACUUCCUUGGUGAUGAACAGCGUAUGGAAGUGUAAGCCAAAUAAACCCUUUCCUCCCCCCCCCAAAAAAAAAAA
This 1197-nucleotide long non-coding RNA is filed under the name Mus musculus (house mouse). Its description in RNAcentral is "predicted gene, 41717 (Gm41717)". The record is from RNAcentral. Lineage: Eukaryota; Metazoa; Chordata; Mammalia; Rodentia; Muridae.